AUUCUUCGAACCCACAAAAAGUAUGAAUCAAUUAAUCCCUAGAAGGUUCUUCUCGUGUUGAGGGAGUUUUUAGGAUCCAUGGUUUAUAUCUUGUUGAAGGCUUUAUGAGGGUGCAAUUUUUUUGAGGCUUUGAGAGGGUUUCGAGGCUUCAAGUUCCGGGCAUUUGGGACAAACUCCUCCUCCUGUUCACCACCUUCAACUGAGUUGCACUCAGUUUGUAGCGGUGCCUGAUCAUAAGGCACAUAUUUCUCCUUCGCGUUCUCCAUCAAUUUGAUGUAAUGUUUCGCUCUUAGUAUUGGAGGUCCCCCCUCAGGUCUGAUACAUUUAGAUCCAUCUACAAACAAAUAAGAGUACAUUAAUAUCCAGGCAAUUAUUAUAAUAUCCAUUUAGAUGAGCUACAAACAAAUAAGACUAUACGAAUUAAUUACUAACCAACUCCUAUUCUUUACAGUAUCAUUAUAAUAUGUCAUUAUUUCUUUCGUGUAAUCUGCCAUUUGGUAUUGUUUGAUGGGUUUUGUGGGUGAAUUUAGAGAGAUUGAUGGGUUCUUGGGUGAUUUUAGGGAGGGAUUAAUAGGUUUUUGGGGGUGAUUUUAGAGAUAUUGAUGGGUUCUUGUUAUAAUUUCGAGAGAGAAAUUAAAUUUAUUCUUUUAUUUAUUUUCAUUUAUUAUGUUAUAAAAUAUUAUAACAUAAACUAUUUUCUUUGUAUUUUAAUAAUUGGUCUUAAUGAAUGUUUAAAAAAAAAAUUGUUUUGUAUUUUAAUGUAUUAAUACUUGUAUUGACAAAUUUGCCAUUAAAAAAAUGGGUCAGGUCAGACUUUGAGGCGGAUUUAAGUGAAAAUUGAGAAUGGACAGAAUUGACACCAACUUGCUAUUUUAAGAACUCAGUUGAUGAACAAUGAAUUUUAAAGAUGAUUUUGACAUUCGAUAACAACUUAAAAGGAUAAAAGUGUCAUUCAGACUUUUAAAAAUCUAAGAGUUUAAGAGUAGAAAACCAAAAUAUCUAUGUGAACAGACUCUAGUGGUGGUAAAUGGUAUGGGAAGAAAGUGACAGAAUAUGCAGGACAAGAAAACAAGCGUGAGAGAAGAAAAAUAGACAAAAAAUGAUAAAGAGGGAAAAAAAGAAACUACUCAAAAAAAAAGCGGCGUUGUGCUUAUCUUUAUUGCUAUGUUGAUAUCAAUUCUCAAAAAAUAUCUAACAAAAAGUCAUAUUACAAGCAAAUUUAAGUAAAAAUAAAAUACUCAAAAUUAAUGAAUAUACAAUUCUUACCCGAAUAGCCACAAUUAACAUCACCUCUAAUGAAAUGCCAUGAGCAACAACCUUAACAGCAACAUAAUGAAAUUGAUCAAAAUGUGUGUACACAAUAACCUACACAUCCAGAUGAAAGAAGAGAGAGAUUUUAAAAAAUAGAAUUAAAAGCUAUAUUGGGGAAAAAAAUCUUGUACUUAACUUCAACAAAUUUAGCACAUACACAUUUUACCUGUACUGGAUAAAUUUUAGGAUUCAAAAUUUUUAUCCAACUUGGUCUUUUCGGGGUCGCAAAGCUGGUGAGCGCUCUCUCCUUUUCUAGCCUCAUACUUUUAUGGUUGUUUUCACCCAGCCCAACACUUCAAUGAUUAAACAAAAUCAUCAUUUCACUUCAUUAUCCCCUGCAAAAUAAUCAUUUAUGUAUUCGUAGGACACUUAUAUUUUAAUUCAAAAUAUGAUGUACAUCAUCAAAUAAACCAAAAAAAAUGAUCAUAUAAAUACAUCAACAUAUAUAGAAAAUAUGCAAAUACAUAUAGAUAUAUUGAAAAUACAUCCAAUAAAAUUGAUAUGAUUUAUUGAGGACUCUAAUAAGCUGGGAGAGAGAGCUACCGAAUGUUAUAGGUAGAUCAUUCCAAAAGAAAAUGACAUUAUUUUAGAAGAAAGAAUAUGUGAGAUGGGGAGAUGGGGAGA
This 1935-nucleotide long non-coding RNA is filed under the name Panax ginseng (ginseng). RNAcentral describes it as "long non-coding RNA (PGIN_LNC008394)". Lineage: Eukaryota; Viridiplantae; Streptophyta; Magnoliopsida; Apiales; Araliaceae. The record is from RNAcentral.